This 349-nucleotide long non-coding RNA is filed under the name Carica papaya (papaya). Its description in RNAcentral is "long non-coding RNA (CPAP_LNC002418)". The record is from RNAcentral. Lineage: Eukaryota; Viridiplantae; Streptophyta; Magnoliopsida; Brassicales; Caricaceae.
ACUUAUUGGUUCAGGUAAUCUCCUUUUAAGUUGCUGGGGUUAUUGUUGGGUAUGGACUCAUGCAACGUUAGUGCUUGGUUGAGAUGAGAUCUUUGGCUAAUUGGGCAUUUUGAGCACCUCCACAUACGAGCUGGGUCUCAGCAUCGUAAUUUAAUCAUAUAUGUCGGCACAAAAGCCCUUGAGAAACUUCUUACCUUUUAAGCCCUCAAGGGUGACCAUUAGAGGGGCAAAUCUAGACAAUUGAACAAAACGGGCUGCAUAGUGGACAACCAUCAGACUCCCUUAGCAAAGGUCCUGAAAUUCCUCCUUUUUCUUUUUCCGAACAUAGACAGGGAAGAAGUUAUCAAAG